CAGACACUCAAUCCUCAGAACUCCCGAUCGACGGCAACUCGACCGGGGGCUGGGGUGAGAAGACUUCGACAAUGCAGACGAGGAAGAUCACGUCGUGGACGAUUGCCUCAGGGUCCUUUGUUGUCAUGGCACCGUUGACCCUGUGCUGCGGGCCGGCGAGGUCGUUGAACUUGCCGAAGGCAUCACCAAGCUUCUAUCUCUAGAUCUGCACCAAUCCUUGUCAGAAAAUUGAGAAGUCAUGGCAUAGUCAAAUCUGAACAAGCCGUGUGGAGCUUCGCCAUGAGUCUGCGCAUGAAUUUGGGAAUGGACGGAUGUCACUCCGAAGAAGUCAGAGAAUAUUUUCAAUGCGCAGCAGGACAAGAGAAAAGAAGAGAAGCAAAGAGAGACUUCUAUUUAGGAACGGAGGGAGUACAAAAGAAACGCCUCUUGAUCGUCGAAGUCCUCAGCCACGAAGCGAAAUACCAAUGAGGCAUAAGUAGAUGAUGAACACAUAGCAAGCACUGCGCAGGAGUGAGAUCACGUCAAUCAAUAUUGAUUUGUUUGAUUUGAUGAAUAUUCUACCAUUUGAAAUAAAUUUGAAUGUUAUUGUUUAUUAUUAUUAUGGAGUGUUUGGCAGUGUGAGCAUGUAGUAUAAGAGUACCUUAUCCGUUCAGCGGGGUGCUCCAACUUUUGAUGCUGGCGAAGCUUUUGCAAUGAUGGCUGCAUCCUCCAUCAUUUGUUAGUCUCCGUUGGAGGUUUAAUUAAACUGAAGUAAAUAUGCUACAUUCUUUUGUCAAAUAAAAACAUGACUGCCUAUUUUGCUUGUCAGGACCAAGAUCUCUAGCUAUCAAUGAAAUUUUCAGAGUAGUUUUUGUUGCCUCUGUGUAACCCUGAUAGCAGCUUCUUGGAAGGUUCAGAUGUGUGGCAAAGGAUUUCAAUUUUCCUGUUUACACAAAGGAAACUUGAGGAAGGUUCAGAUUUCUCAUGCUUGGUUCUGUCCUCUCAGGGUUACAUAGACAAAAAUGCCUCCUAUUUACACAAAGGCAACUUGAGGAAGAUUUGUUUCCCUACAAUAUGGCGGAUUAAUGUAUAUUCUUCUGAAGUCAUAGUACAUUCAUGGUCUGUAUAUAUGUUUGUAUGCUGCAAACCUGAGUCUGGUUUCAAAGUUUGGCCGCUGCUAACUUGAUUUGGAGACAUUUCCUGUUAGGAGUUAAACUUUGGUUUGGAGGCAUCGAGCUUUGGCUGUAACUAGCUUUGUUACUUGGUAUACCUCUGUCAGCAUAAAGGAGCCGGGUAUUUGUUGAGCGGGUUGUGGGAGAGGCGGUCGGCGAGCGCGGGCUAGACGGGAAGGUGAUGCUUGCGAUGGCGACCAUGCCGGCGGACAGGGAAAGGUCGAUUGUGUCCAUCAUGGUGUUUCCGAGGGAGAGCGAGGCAUCUACCAUCGCGCAUCUGAAGAAGUCGAUGCUCGGGGCGAGGUUGACCACCGUGGCCGGCGUGAAAGCGGAUGGACUUAAAGGCCGGUGACAGGUUUGCCGUCAAUGCACCGUCUCUCAACUUGGUGGAGAGGCGAAAGGAGAGCGGUGGCACCAUGAAGACCUCGACGACUGCUGCUGUGACCAUGACCAGGCCAUUGUGUUUGUAAAAAGAUACUAAUUGUAUACAUAUCCCCCAGCUCCAAAAACAUUAGAUAAAUAUCCAACUUAUUAUUGAAAAAUCUUGAUUCAAGAUAAAUGGAACCUUUCCUAUAUACAAUGAGCUUAUUAUUUGAAGGUUGCAUUGAUUGUGCUAUUAUUGCUGAAAUAAGAGGCUUAUGUGAAUUUGUCAA
Triticum urartu is the source of this 1804-nucleotide non-coding RNA. The record is from RefSeq and is a predicted model, not a curated record. NCBI's taxonomy places the organism in Eukaryota, Viridiplantae, Streptophyta, Magnoliopsida, Poales, Poaceae.